This 480-nucleotide ribosomal RNA is filed under the name uncultured Cytophagales bacterium. RNAcentral describes it as "bacterial SSU rRNA". It matches the Rfam family "Bacterial small subunit ribosomal RNA", at positions 28 to 505 of the family's 1533-position model. Lineage: Bacteria; Pseudomonadati; Bacteroidota; Sphingobacteriia; Sphingobacteriales. The record is from RNAcentral.
GAUGAACGCUAGCGGCAGGCCUAAUACAUGCAAGUCGAGCGGCAGCAUGGGACUUCGGUUCCGAUGGCGAGCGGCGCACGGGUGCGUAACGCGUAUGCAACCUACCGAUAAGAGGGGAAUAGCCCGUGGAAACGCGGAUUAAUACCCCGUAGUAAGGGAGACUGGCAUCUUUUUCCCUUUAAAGCUACGGCGCUUAUCGAUGGGCAUGCGUCCAAUUAGCUAGAUGGCGGGGUAAAAGCCCACCAUGGCGACGAUUGGUAGGGGGCCUGAGAGGGUGAUCCCCCACACUGGUACUGAGACACGGACCAGACUCCUACGGGAGGCAGCAGUAGGGAAUAUUGGUCAAUGGGCGAGAGCCUGAACCAGCCAUGCCGCGUGCAGGAAGACGGCCCUUGGGUUGUAAACUGCUUUUCUACGGGAAGAAAAGGGCUCUGCGGAGCACAUUGACGGUACCGUAGGAAUAAGCACCGGCUAACUACG